RNAcentral lists this long non-coding RNA (505 nucleotides) under Eucalyptus grandis. RNAcentral describes it as "long non-coding RNA (EGRA_LNC005556)". Lineage: Eukaryota; Viridiplantae; Streptophyta; Magnoliopsida; Myrtales; Myrtaceae. The record is from RNAcentral.
CCCAGUUAAAGUCUUCUACUUCUGUUAGGGAUCGUACAAGACUACGACAAUCAGAUUCGAUUGAAACAGCACCUAGCUUCUUUUUCUUUAUGCACUCCAGAGCUUCAACAAGAGAUAGGGUUUCGAUUUGAGGGAUCGAAUCUGCGCGAACUGUCCUGGUGAAGCCAUCGACGAGACAACCGGAGGAGUUGGGGACGAUUUCGGCGAUGGCUCCUUCUGCUGAGCCCUUUCGGAUUGACCCAUCGACGCUAUCUUCAAUUUCCCCAUCUCUGGAGCAACCCAACUCUAAGGUAUGUCUUUCUCCUCUGAUUUUCUUGCUUGAGGGUGUUGACACAUCCAUUUCUCAUAAUUUCGCUACUAGAAUUUGGCCAGAUCUAUUGUGUUACAUGCAUUCGGCUUGCUUCCUUGAAAAUAAAGCUGUUUUGCCCCUUCCAAAUUUGCCAGCGGAGGUUUGAGAUCGAUUCCAAGGACGGUAAGUGAGUGUUUUUCCUUAUAAAAGUGCCAA